GGUUGCGAUCAUACCAGCACUAAUGCACCGGAUCCCAUCAGAACUCCGCAGCUAAGCGUGCUUGGGCGAGAGCAGUACUAGGAUGGGUGACCCCCUGGGAAGUCCUCGUGUUGCAACCC
RNAcentral lists this ribosomal RNA (119 nucleotides) under Helianthus annuus (common sunflower). The record is from RNAcentral. Lineage: Eukaryota; Viridiplantae; Streptophyta; Magnoliopsida; Asterales; Asteraceae.